CCGUGAGGGAUGAAGGCCUUCCGGGUUGUUAAACCUCUUUCAGCAGGGACGAAGCGAAAGUGACGGUACCUGCAGAAGAAGCACCGGCUAACUACGUGC
Molecule: ribosomal RNA, 99 nt
Filed under: uncultured bacterium
Lineage: Bacteria
Description: partial 16S ribosomal RNA
Rfam family: Bacterial small subunit ribosomal RNA
Source: RNAcentral